This 490-nucleotide ribosomal RNA is filed under the name uncultured bacterium. RNAcentral describes it as "partial 16S ribosomal RNA". It matches the Rfam family "Bacterial small subunit ribosomal RNA", at positions 28 to 507 of the family's 1533-position model. The record is from RNAcentral.
GAUGAACGCUAGCUACAGGCUUAACACAUGCAAGUCGAGGGACAGCAUGGUCUUAGCUUGCUAAGGCCGAUGGCGACCGGCGCACGGGUGAGUAACACGUAUCCAACCUGCCGUCUACUCUUGGACAGCCUUCUGAAAGGAAGAUUAAUACAAGAUGGCAUCAUGAGUUCACUUGUUCACAUGAUUAAAGGUAUUCCGGUAGACGAUGGGGAUGCGUUCCAUUAGAUAGUAGGCGGGGUAACGGCCCACCUAGUCUUCGCUGGAGAGGGGUUCUGAGAGGAAGGUACCCCAGAUUGGAACUGAGACACGGUCCAAACUCGUACGCGAGGCAGCAGUGAGGAAUAUUGGUGAAUGGGCGAGAGCCUGAACCAGCCAAGUAGCGUGAAGGAUGACUGCCCUAUGAGUUGUAAACUUCUUUUAAAAAGGAAUAAAGUCAGGUAUGUAUACCCGCUUGCAUGUACUUUAUCAAUAAGGAUCGGCUAACUACGUG